This 306-nucleotide ribosomal RNA is filed under the name Clostridioides difficile. RNAcentral describes it as "bacterial LSU rRNA". It matches the Rfam family "Bacterial large subunit ribosomal RNA", at positions 1554 to 1872 of the family's 2925-position model. Lineage: Bacteria; Bacillati; Bacillota; Clostridia; Peptostreptococcales; Peptostreptococcaceae. The record is from RNAcentral.
UGCUGGGAUGUGAUGGGGAGCGAAAUUUAGUAGCGAAGUAGCUGAUUUCACACUGUCAAGAAAAGUCUCUAUCGAGGUUAAAGGUACCCGUACCGCAAACCGACACAGGUGGGUGAGGAGAGUAUCCUAAGGCCAGCGAGAGAACUGUUGGUAAGGAACUCGGCAAAAUGACCCCGUAACUUAGGGAUAAGGGGUGCCACCAUCAGGUGGCCGCAGAGAAUAGGCCCAAGCGACUGUUUACCAAAAACAUAGGGUUCUGCUAAGUCGCAAGACGAUGUAUAGGAGCUGACGCCUGCCCGGUGCUGG